This 105-nucleotide transfer RNA is filed under the name Colletotrichum orbiculare MAFF 240422. RNAcentral's name for it is "tRNA-Phe for anticodon GAA". It matches the Rfam family "tRNA". Rfam says of the family: Transfer RNA (tRNA) molecules are approximately 80 nucleotides in length. Lineage: Eukaryota; Fungi; Ascomycota; Sordariomycetes; Glomerellales; Glomerellaceae. The record is from Rfam by way of RNAcentral.
GCGGACAUAGCUCAGUUGGGAGAGCGUCAGACUGAAGUGGAUCUCGAUCCUGCAAACUUCAUUCAAUCAAUCUGAAGGUCGUGUGUUCAAUCCACACUGGCCGCA